AUUCUCUGAUGUUUUUGCUGAGUUUCGCGUUCCUUAGCCAACCUAUUUCACCAAAAGUAUGGAAACAUAAUUUUGAUGGAAUAAUGAAUUAUAUAUCUACCGUAUGUAUUAAUCCAAAAGUUCGUCUUGGUGGACAAAUUUUGGCAUUAGAUCUUGGGAUAACGGAGAUUCAGUGUUUACUGGGUUUUCUUAUCCUGGAUAUAGUUAUAACUGUGUUAGCUGUCCGUACACUAAAAAGAAAGUUUCAUGAUCUCAAGCCAAUAAGAUCUUUGAGCACUGUACAAAGUGAAAACUGGGAUGAAGAAUUAUUUGAGAACUGGGAUGAUGAUCUCAUGCAUAUUCCUGAAAACUGGGAUGAUGAUCUGGUUACAAUUCCUGAAAACUGGGAUGGAGAAUUAAUAAUGAUCUAAAUGGGGGGAUUUACUUUCAUUGAUAAAAAGGGUGUACGAUUUUAAAUCAGUUUGAUUUUGAUCUCCA
This is a long non-coding RNA of Patella vulgata (common limpet), 477 nucleotides long. RefSeq lists it as uncharacterized. NCBI's taxonomy places the organism in Eukaryota, Metazoa, Mollusca, Gastropoda, Patellidae. The transcript is spliced from 4 exons. The record is from RefSeq and is a predicted model, not a curated record.